Non-coding RNA from Ictidomys tridecemlineatus (thirteen-lined ground squirrel), 4170 nucleotides. NCBI's taxonomy places the organism in Eukaryota, Metazoa, Chordata, Mammalia, Rodentia, Sciuridae. The record is from RefSeq and is a predicted model, not a curated record.
ACGAGGCCUCUGAGAACAGCACCCUGCGGGAGGGAGCUGUCUUGGCCUUCCCUGCUGUCCAGAGGCUUGGCGCCUCCCCCACCCCCGGCUCAGGGCCAGGCCUUGGCUUGAGGACAGCCCUGCGGAACAUGACCAGAGGACCCAGGCACCCGGUCACAAGAAGCCCCUCAGGGCAUGCCCUGCCUCCAGGGAACUGCCUGGGGGCUCCUCUGGUGAAGGUGCCCUGACACCCAAGGACAGGCAGCGUCCCCCUGUGGGCAGCAUGGCCAUGAGAGGACGAGGAGGAAGACUGACUCCAAGGUGAAUGCUGGCACUCCGCCUCUGCCCCUCCCUCCCUCCCCUGCAGGAAUGACGGGGAGGACCCCCUAAGGGACACAUUUCAUGGCUCCCCCAGGACUUGGCAUGGCCCUGCUGUGCUCCUCACUGUGCCUGGGGACGGCUCAGGCUGAGUCACAGAUGUGGGUGGCUGCUGGGCAGUGGUGGGCACAAGUAACCUGGGGGGCCCAUGAACUCACCUUGUGUCAGAGAGGGAGGUGUGGAGGCCCUUGGCUUCAGUCACUGCCAUCUCCAAGGUCCAUCACAGUUGGACUUGAGGCCACUCUUCUUUGCAGGAGGGGCCUCUGGGGAUUGUAUUCAGGGGCACUCGACCACUGAGCCACACCCCAGCCCUGUUUGGUAUUUUAAUUAGAGACAGGGUGUCACUGAGUUGCUCAGCACCUUGCUCUUGCUGAGGCUGGCUCUGAACUCCUGGUCCUCCUGCCUCAGCCUCCCGAGACCAGGUGUGCGACACUCUGUCUGCUUGAAAGCACUUUGAAAUGUUUAUAAUCAAGUGCACGUCGCCAAACUAGCCAUGGGGGGCAUCUGCUCGGUGCCACCGGGUGUCCACGUCCUGUGCAGCGGCCACCUCUUCAGGUUCCAGAGCUGUCUCAUCAUUCCCAAAGACCCCCCACACGAGGCCAACAGGGUCCACUGGGACUUCCCUCUCCACCCCUCAGGCCCACAGAAUGGCCACCAUGGUGGUCAGGAGUGAGGGUGGGGCCGGGAUGAGCCUGGCUCCUCAGGGUGCUGUUCUUGCCCCCUCCUGUCCAAUCAGGGUGAAGGGAGGGGUGGAAGCUAGGGUGGCUCUCCUGUGUCCUUUGAUUUGCCCCCAUAGGGGUCAGUGUGGGGCAGGCUGGGAGAGCACUCUGUGCCCUCCAGGUGGGGUGCCCGGCCCAGGGCAGCACGCCCCAUGGCCUCCUCUGCCCCGUUCCCUGGUGUGUGCCCGCCCUCCGUGGCACAUGCCCACUGGCCAGCUGAGUCUUCUAUCUGGUGGGCCCUCGGGUGCCACCAGGCCUGACUGAGGCCACAGGUCUGCACCGGCCUUGUCCCUGCAUGGCCACUCCCACGGAUGGGAACGCCACUUCCUUCCUGGCAGCUGUGGCCACGCGAGGGAGCAAGCCAGUGCCUGCGUGUCCUGACCAGCUGCCUGGUGAUCCGCACCGGCCUCUGUGGGAGCUGGGUUCAGGAGGCUCAGCCAGGUGGCUGGCCUGCCCUGGGUCCAGGUUGGUCAGAGCUGCAAGGGGGUGGCUGAGGUGGCCCCUGGUGGACGCUCCCCACUGGCCCAGUGCCACAUGCUGCCUGACACCAGCCUGUGCGUGGACCUCCCGGGGGCUCCCGGCCCCGGGUGGCUCUCUCCAGCUGGCGCCCUGUGUUGGUGGCUGCUUCUGCUUCAUUCAUCCUGGUGCCCUCCCUGUGGCAUGCUCAGCCACAGGGCGCAGGACACACCCUUGCCACCCGGCCGAGGGGGUUCCCAGAGACUCCUGGUGCCCAUGGCCGUGCUUGCUGGGAGCAGCACCAGGCUCGCCAACCUGCGAGAAAAACAGCUUUCUGCUUCUACAAAUGCGUGUCCUGCUUUUGUCCUUUCCUGGUGACCCAGUUCUGCGUUUCUCAUGGUGGCCUCUGCUCAUGGGACAACACUGCAGGAGGAGCCCAUGGUGGCUGGAGACCCUUCUGGGAGUCUGCAGAGGCAGCGUCACAGCGGUGGCCCUGCAGAGGGCCCUGGUCCCCCCAGUGCCAACUCUGGUGUGAACACUGCUCCAUGGCCAAUGCGAGGGGAGGCAGAGCAAGGACCCUGUGCUGUAUCUCUGCAGCUCGUCUCUCCAGGCACCACCCACCACCUGUGAGAGCGCAUUGCUAGGGAGUUGGUGUGACUGUCCCCAAAAGAGCUCUUCUGACCACAGGAAGCAGGACAGAGACAGGGGUACUUGGAGGGUCACUGUGGGAGCCUCUGGGGCCCAAGACCCUCAGGCUGAGACAGCCCACCAGCCCCUGCACCCACUGUGCAUGCUCACCUACAAAAGGCCAUCAAUUCUGGCUUCUUUUGGCCUCUAAGAACUAUUAAUAGUAAUAAUUAUUAACAAGACUUGGGGAUCUGCCAGGUUUAACAAUAUCACCUCACUGAACGCGUUAGCGCUGCUGACUGCUGUCACUAAGAGCCCUCAGAGAAGGCCCUGCAGGAGGGACGGUGUGGCCCCGGCCUGGCAGAGGAGAACACCGAGUGCAGAGACGCCGGCCGGCCCCAGGGCCCAGCUUCCCCUGCGCCCCGCACUCCACCACCGGCUGGCUGUGGGCUGGCUUUCUCAACCCCACUCAGUGUCCCACGGGGAGGGUGACGGAGCCUGCAGAUAGUCCUGGAGAAUGACUUUGGUCAGGGGAGGGGUGUUCUGAUGGCUGGUGUGCAGGGUCACUGUGAGCUAGCUUUGGCAUGAGGGGCGUGAGGUCAGGCAGGGGACGUGAUGGCCAAGUUUGCUCCAGAGACCUCCACCGUGAGUCUUACUCGAGUGUAGUCCUGCCACCACGGGGCAGAGACAGAGUGGUCUUCAUGUCCAGCCCCACCCCCCAGUAGACUGAGAAUGGGGGGGCUCCCAGGAACCUCAGUGCCUUUGCAGGCUCCGUGUCCCUGGUGCUGUUCCCUGUGGGCCAGUGCCCCCUGGAUGGUCCUCCCAUCUCUACCUGUGCAUGAAUGUCCCCCAGCCCCUGGUCUUGGCAUCGGAAGGAAAGCCUGGGCUGGGACCACUCUUUGGGAGGCCCGUCCCCACACUUGUCCUGGCUCCUCUGCCCAGGCUCUGCCAUUCCCAGGCUCUGAUGGCAUUAGGAAGGUCUUUACAGAUGUGGUGACGUCAUGGAUUUCUGGACAAGGUCGUGCUGGGUCUGGUGGUCCUGAACCAGUGACAGACAGCCGAGAGGCGCAGGGAAAGCAGCCGCAGGACGACCGCAGAGUGACCUUCACAGGCCGGGCACUGCCUGGGACUGCCCACGCUGGGGAGAGAUGGGCAAGUCCCCUGGGAUUCCCAAGGGACUGGCCCACCAGGCCGUGCGCCUCAGGCUGCCAGCCUUGGAGACUGGGGGAGUCUGUGCCCGAUGCUGAGCCACGCUGUGUGGGGACGGCCCUGAGACCCACAGCUUCCCACCAGACCGCCCCAGGCGGGAGCUGUGACCCUAAGUGGCAUCCGUCACAGUCCUAAGUGGCAUCAGGAGGCCUGGGGACAUGAGGGCGGAGGGCAGUGCGUCUGUCCCUCCCGCCUCAGCAGCUGGCCCAGCCGCAGCAGACCCUCUGCCUGAGCUGGACGCCCUGGCCUUCGGGAGACUCUGGUCCAUCCGGCCAGCUCCAGGGCCAGCCUGCAAGGCUGGGAGUUAAAGGGCCGAGAACACGGCUCCAGCUGCCGCCUCUGGAGACACGGAGGGAGCUGGCGGGUGGCGGGUGCGCCCUGGACUGCAGCAGGAUGAAGCCCUGCUCUCCCUCCGCCCCCCUCCCCGCCCUCCCCACCGGCUCCCCCACUGCCCCCCCUCCUGGGCACAAGCUCUGCAGGUCCCUGGGGAGGAGAGAAGGAGCGUCCCAGGCCACCCAAGGAGAGGUCCUCUGACCAGCGUCUGGCUGUGAGGUCAGGGGUCUCCAGCACGGGCCACGGGGCCACGUCCCAGGCUGGAUGCUCUCUGUUUCUCUCCCAGCUCUGGGAACUCAGGACAGGUCGGGGACAAGGGGCAGGAGAGCCCUGCUCCUCGGCCUGGGUGGCAGCGCGGAGGGAGCUGGGCAGCUGAGCUGGGGUCAGAUCAAAGCCUAAGGUCCCAAAUAUGUACUUCUGGAAAAACUAUGGAGCAGCUUCUCUUUUUAAAUAUUUAUUUUUAGUUGUA